Molecule: ribosomal RNA, 119 nt
Filed under: Pteropus alecto (black flying fox)
Lineage: Eukaryota; Metazoa; Chordata; Mammalia; Chiroptera; Pteropodidae
Source: RNAcentral
GUCUACGGCCAUGCCACCCUGAAUGUGCCCAAUCUCGUCUGAUGUCUAAAGCUAAGCAGGGUCAGGCCUGGGUAGUACUUGGACAGGAGACUACCUAGGAAGACCAGGUGCUGUAGGUG